Motacilla alba alba is the source of this 935-nucleotide long non-coding RNA. RefSeq lists it as uncharacterized. NCBI's taxonomy places the organism in Eukaryota, Metazoa, Chordata, Aves, Passeriformes, Motacillidae. The transcript is spliced from 3 exons. The record is from RefSeq and is a predicted model, not a curated record.
CUGCAAACCACCAAACCCCUGGGGAUAAAAACUUGCCAGAGAGGCAUGGGAGGGGGGCACCAUUUCUUCAGAAGCAUCAUCUAGAGAAGGACCUGUCUGUGUCUUGGCAUGGCACCAAAAGUCUAAGCCCCAAAGUGGGUCACAGCACUUAGAGGAGAUCAUUCCCUGAAUCGCAAGAGGAGGUACGUCUGGAAACAGGGGACAUGGAGUGUCCCAGGGUAUGACCCUGCAAAUCCUGCGGCUCCAGCGGAGCAGCAGCUUAGGCUCCCGGGAGCCUGCCAGCUCACAGCCUGGGCGCUCUCCCGGGAGGCGGGCUCACCCCUCCGGCCCCGAAACCCCGCUCCCCGCCCUCCAGGGGUAGGAGGGGGCGGCGGAGAGAUACGGCUUCCCCCGAGGGAAGGCGGCGGCCAGGAACCAAAACUCGCCGGGGUGAUGCCAGGGAAAAACUGCGGUUUCACUCCAGGUUGGGUCUGUGAACUGAGGGUUCCAUGAGAACUCAGAACGCAUCUGAUGCACUCCUGGCACCUGCCUUCUGCUAUAUUGCUAUCUGGAUCCACUCUGUGUACUCACCUCUGCCGGGCAAAAUAAAAUGUGGGUGUCUGACAGAAAGGGAGCUGGUAUGACUUUCCCAAAGCUGAGAGCUGGAGCCUGCUCCACAGCAUACUAUUCCAGCAUCCUCCCCUCAAAUCACCUUUCUGCCCGGUGCUGAGCCUCCACCCCCAGGCAUGCACGAGGUCUCAGGUCUCCACUUCUGCAAGGAGCUGUGCACGUUUUGGAGAGCGUAGACGCUCCUUGUUUACUGCUCGCAUGCCUUCACUUGGCUCAAUGUGGUGUUCUAACCCCUGGUAUUCAUUUUACCAAUGCCUGAAAUGACAGGGAUACUAAGCUAAUACCGUGUCAAUGGAACUCUGCUCUCGGUGUAAAGAAAGAGAAGA